This 257-nucleotide long non-coding RNA is filed under the name Capsicum annuum. RNAcentral describes it as "long non-coding RNA (CANN_LNC016272)". The record is from RNAcentral. Lineage: Eukaryota; Viridiplantae; Streptophyta; Magnoliopsida; Solanales; Solanaceae.
GUUCUUUUUCUAAUUCAGCAAUUUUAUUAUUUUUAGUUUCUUCUAUUUUUCGUAUUUCUUCUGUAGUUUGUUGUUUUAUUUUUUCUAUUUCCUUUUUCCUAUCUAUUUCUUCAUUUUCUCUUUCUAUUCUUACCAUAGCUAUCAAUUUAUCUUCUAAUUUUAAUUCUUCUUUUUCUAACAUUAGAUAUAAAUGUUCACCUAUUUUCUUAUAUCUUCUUCCUAGAUUAGAAAAUACUAUUUUUAUUUUUAAUCCUUCG